UGCGCCUCUCUCUUCCCCUCUUCCUCUCUGUUUUUCUUUUCAUUUUGAUUUCCAAAACUUUGAAGCAAGAUCUUGAUCUCAUUUCUUAUCGAAAUUGAGUGUCGUUUGAGGCAAAACGAAGCUCGUGUCAAGCUCUACACAUCCAUACAAGCGAUUUCAGAUUUAGUGCACUCCUUGGAGUUCGAAUCUUAGGACCCAUUUCUAGGGUUUGUGAAGAAAAUUGGGGUUUUUGCUCAAUUAGAGGAACCGGUAAGGAGGUAGUGGAUGCCGAUCUUCCACAAGCUUAAGGAUGACUUGGAGCUCAUUUUGUAUCUUUUGUAUAUCUCCCAUUUUUGUAAGGCCCCAAAAGUGUAGUAAUAUGUAUUUAUUUUUUCAAAACCAUGGUUAGGUAAUAUAAUUAUGUUACUAGAUGAUAUUUUGGAUGUGAGUUUGAUAUCAUGUAAACCUUAUUGAUGCAUGGGGAGAGUAAUACUAGUUUGAGGUAUUAUCGAGGUCA
Long non-coding RNA from Cornus florida, 496 nucleotides. RefSeq lists it as uncharacterized. The transcript is spliced from 2 exons. NCBI's taxonomy places the organism in Eukaryota, Viridiplantae, Streptophyta, Magnoliopsida, Cornales, Cornaceae. The record is from RefSeq and is a predicted model, not a curated record.